UACGGGGGGGGCAAGCGUUGUUCGGAAUUACUGGGCGUAAAGGGCUCGUAGGCGGCCAACUAAGUCAGACGUGAAAUCCCCCGGCUUAACCUGGGAACUGCGUCUGAUACUGGAAGGCUUGAGUGCGGGAGAGGGAUGUGGAAUUCCAGGUGUAGCGGUGAAAUGCGUAGAUAUCUGGAGGAACACCGGUGGCGAAGGCGGCAUCCUGGACCGACACUGACGCUGAGGCGCGAAAGCUAGGGUAGCAAACGGG
This 253-nucleotide ribosomal RNA is filed under the name uncultured bacterium. RNAcentral's name for it is "partial 16S ribosomal RNA". It matches the Rfam family "Bacterial small subunit ribosomal RNA", at positions 524 to 776 of the family's 1533-position model. The record is from RNAcentral.